AUUGAACGCUGGCGGAAUGCUUUACACAUGCAAGUCGAACGGCAGCACGGGGGCAACCCUGGUGGCGAGUGGCGAACGGGUGAGUAAUACAUCGGAACGUGCCCAGUCGUGGGGGAUAACGUAGCGAAAGUUACGCUAAUACCGCAUACGAUCUACGGAUGAAAGCGGGGGACCGUAAGGCCUCGCGCGAUUGGAGCGGCCGAUGUCAGAUUAGGUAGUUGGUGAGGUAAAGGCUCACCAAGCCGACGAUCUGUAGCUGGUCUGAGAGGACGACCAGCCACACUGUGACUGAGACACGGCCCAGACUCCUACGGGAGGCAGCAGUGGGGAAUUUUGGACAAUGGGCGCAAGCCUGAUCCAGCCGUUCCGCGUGCAGGACGAAGGCCUUCGGGUUGUAAACUGCUUUUGUACGGAACGAAAAGGCUCUGGUUAAUACCUGGGGCUCAUGACGGUACCGUAAGAAUAAGCACCGGCUAACUACGUGCCAGCCGCCGCAGUAA
This 500-nucleotide ribosomal RNA is filed under the name uncultured bacterium. Its description in RNAcentral is "partial 16S ribosomal RNA". It matches the Rfam family "Bacterial small subunit ribosomal RNA", at positions 30 to 523 of the family's 1533-position model. The record is from RNAcentral.